This 98-nucleotide small nuclear RNA is filed under the name Delphinapterus leucas (beluga whale). Lineage: Eukaryota; Metazoa; Chordata; Mammalia; Artiodactyla; Monodontidae. The record is from RNAcentral.
AUAUACUAAAAAAAAAAAAAAAUUGGAACGACACAGAGAAGAUUAGCAUGGCCCUGCGCAAGGAUGACAUGCAAAUUCCUGAAGCGUUCCAUGUUAAA